This 986-nucleotide ribosomal RNA is filed under the name Salmonella enterica. Its description in RNAcentral is "partial 23S ribosomal RNA". It matches the Rfam family "Bacterial large subunit ribosomal RNA", at positions 1173 to 2141 of the family's 2925-position model. The record is from RNAcentral. Lineage: Bacteria; Pseudomonadati; Pseudomonadota; Gammaproteobacteria; Enterobacterales; Enterobacteriaceae.
UAACGGGGCUAAACCAUGCACCGAAGCUGCGGCAGCGACGCUGAUGCGUUGUUGGGUAGGGGAGCGUUCUGUAAGCCUGCGAAGGUGGCCUGUGAGGGUUGCUGGAGGUAUCAGAAGUGCGAAUGCUGACAUAAGUAACGAUAAAGCGGGUGAAAAGCCCGCUCGCCGGAAGACCAAGGGUUCCUGUCCAACGUUAAUCGGGGCAGGGUGAGUCGACCCCUAAGGCGAGGCCGAAAGGCGUAGUCGAUGGGAAACGGGUUAAUAUUCCCGUACUUGGUGUUACUGCGAAGGGGGGACGGAGAAGGCUAUGUUGGCCGGGCGACGGUUGUCCCGGUUUAAGCGUGUAGGUGUGUGUUCCAGGUAAAUCCGGUUCACUUUAACACUGAGGCGUGACGACGAGGCACUACGGUGCUGAAGCAACAAAUGCCCUGCUUCCAGGAAAAGCCUCUAAGCAUCAGGUAACAUCAAAUCGUACCCCAAACCGACACAGGUGGUCAGGUAGAGAAUACCAAGGCGCUUGAGAGAACUCGGGUGAAGGAACUAGGCAAAAUGGUGCCGUAACUUCGGGAGAAGGCACGCUGACACGUAGGUGAAGUGAUUUACUCAUGGAGCUGAAGUCAGUCGAAGAUACCAGCUGGCUGCAACUGUUUAUUAAAAACACAGCACUGUGCAAACACGAAAGUGGACGUAUACGGUGUGACGCCUGCCCGGUGCCGGAAGGUUAAUUGAUGGGGUCAGCGCAAGCGAAGCUCCUGAUCGAAGCCCCGGUAAACGGCGGCCGUAACUAUAACGGUCCUAAGGUAGCGAAAUUCCUUGUCGGGUAAGUUCCGACCUGCACGAAUGGCGUAAUGAUGGCCAGGCUGUCUCCACCCGAGACUCAGUGAAAUUGAACUCGCUGUGAAGAUGCAGUGUACCCGCGGCAAGACGGAAAGACCCCGUGAACCUUUACUAUAGCUUGACACUGAACAUUGAGCCUUGAUGUGUAG